This 253-nucleotide ribosomal RNA is filed under the name uncultured bacterium. RNAcentral describes it as "partial 16S ribosomal RNA". It matches the Rfam family "Bacterial small subunit ribosomal RNA", at positions 524 to 776 of the family's 1533-position model. The record is from RNAcentral.
GACGAACCGUGCGAACGUUGUUCGGAAUCACUGGGCUUAAAGGGCGCGUAGGCGGGGUGGCAAGUCUGUGGUGAAAUCCUCCGGCUCAACCGGAGAACUGCCGUGGAUACUGCCAUUCUCGAGGGGUGUAGGGGCAUGUGGAACUCAGGGUGGAGCGGUGAAAUGCGUAGAUAUUGGGAGGAACACCGGUGGCGAAGGCGGCUUUCUGGACAGUGACUGACGCUGAGACGCGAAAGCGUGGGGAGCGAACAGG